AUGGCUCUCAGAAACGCAAAAUCCUUCUGUCUCUUAGAAAUUAAGCGACCUCCUCUCUCGGAUCUCUUCCCUCUCAGCCCCAUCCAUGGUGGAGUGACACAGGCAUGUCUGAUUCCUCGCUAAGCAUUGCAUCCGUGCUGCAACCAAUAAAUAGCCCAGCUAUCUACACACUGCCAUGUCUCGGAAAUCCAGUACCUCGAGCAGCAAGACCAACAACCUGCUCAGAUGAAACCACAGAUUGCAUCCUGCUCUAGUCUGACACACUAUAGGUGCACUGUCUGUUACCGCCACUAAAAUUUUCUGAUCAGUAAGCAGCUGUCCUGUAAUUAGAUUUGUCAGAGUAUUCAUGCAUUCUUGCUGCUUAGCGGGUUGCCUUGGAGUCUCGGGAGAGUGCAUGAGUGGCACACAGACUUUUGUAGGAGCAGAUUCUAUGGAAUUUUCAAGGUCAUCAUGGGCUGUUUCCUCCUUUGGACGUGAAUAACAGACAGAUGGCUUCUCAGUUCCUGCACCAACCUCUUGAUCAUCAUAGCUUUUCCCACGGUUUACUGCUUGAAUUUGAAAUCCUUCAUUUGUUAUUUCAAUGUAUAAGUCAGUUAAUUCCAACAAUUUAGCGAGCUUGUCCUCCACCGAAAGCUCUUGUGGCACAUUAAGCUGCUCGAAAUAUUGCCCAAGAUGCUCUUUCAAACUUUUAGUGUAGAACUCUGAAUGGGGAUUAUUCCAGUUCCAUUUUGAAUCGAUUCUCAUAUAUAUAU
This 752-nucleotide small RNA is filed under the name Malus domestica (apple). RNAcentral describes it as "sRNA MD08G0116600". The record is from RNAcentral. Lineage: Eukaryota; Viridiplantae; Streptophyta; Magnoliopsida; Rosales; Rosaceae.